ACGGCGGAGUAAUACAUGAACAACGUGCCCUAAAGACCGGGAUAGUCAUUGGAAACGAUGGGUAAUACCGGAUGUGACCCUCACUAGGCAUCUAGAGAGGAUUAAAUGGUUUUUCGCUUUAGGAGCGGUUCAUGGCCUAUCAGGUAGUUGGUGGGGUAAUGGCCUACCAAGCCGACGACGGGUAGCGGGUCUGAGAGGAUGAUCCGCUCGAGUGGGACUGAGACACGGCCCACACACCUACGGGUGGCAGCAGUUGGGAAUCUUGCACAAUGGGGGAAACCCUGAUGCAGCGACGCCGCGUGGAGGAUGACGGAUCUAGGUCUGUAAACUCCUUUUGCACAGAAAGACUUAGGACGGUACUGUGCGAAUAAGGACCGGCUAACUACGCGCCAGCAGCCGCGGUAAGACGUAGGGUCCAAGCGUUGUCCGGAUUUACUGGGCGUAAAGAGCGCGUAGGCGGCUCGUUAAGUGUGAAGUGAAAUCUCCAGGGCUCAACCCGGAAACUGCUUCGCAUACUGGCGGGCUUGAGGAAUGCAGAGGUUUGUGGAAUUCCUGGUGUAGCGGUGAAAUGCGUUGAUA
This 579-nucleotide ribosomal RNA is filed under the name uncultured Armatimonadota bacterium. RNAcentral describes it as "bacterial SSU rRNA". It matches the Rfam family "Bacterial small subunit ribosomal RNA", at positions 102 to 696 of the family's 1533-position model. The record is from RNAcentral. Lineage: Bacteria; Bacillati; Armatimonadota.